This 1051-nucleotide ribosomal RNA is filed under the name Candidatus Portiera aleyrodidarum (primary endosymbiont of Bemisia tabaci). RNAcentral describes it as "bacterial SSU rRNA". It matches the Rfam family "Bacterial small subunit ribosomal RNA", at positions 83 to 1120 of the family's 1533-position model. Lineage: Bacteria; Pseudomonadati; Pseudomonadota; Gammaproteobacteria; Johnevansiales (SeqCode); Johnevansiaceae (SeqCode). The record is from RNAcentral.
ACAGGUUGGCAAGCGGCGCACGGGUGAGUAAUACAUGUAAAUAUACCUUAAAGUGGGGAAUAACGUACGGAAACGUACGCUAAUACCGCAUAAUUAUUACGAGAUAAAGCAGGGGCUUGAUAUAAAAACAAUCAACCUUGCGCUUUUAGAAAAUUACAUGCCGGAUUAGCUAGUUGGUAGAGUAAAAGCCUACCAAGGUAACGAUCCGUAGCUGGUCUGAGAGGAUGAUCAGCCACACUGGGACUGAGAAAAGGCCAGACUCCUACGGGAGGCAGCAGUGGGGAAUAUUGGACAAUGGGGGGAACCCUGAUCCAGUCAUGCCGCGUGUGUGAAGAAGGCCUUUGGGUUGUAAAGCACUUUCAGCGAAGAAGAAAAGUUAUAAAAUAAAAAGUUAUAACUAUGACGGUACUCGCAGAAGAAGCACCGGCUAACUCCGUGCCAGCAGCCGCGGUGAGACGGAGGGUGCAAGCGUUAAUCAGAAUUACUGGGCGUAAAGGGCAUGUAGGUGGUUUGUUAAGCUUUAUGUGAAAGCCCUAUGCUUAACAUAGGAACGGAAUAAAGAACUGACAAACUAGAGUGCAGAAGAGGAAGGUAGAAUUCCCGGUGUAGCGGUGAAAUGCGUAGAUAUCUGGAGGAAUACCAGUUGCGAAGGCGACCUUCUGGGCUGACACUGACACUGAGAUGCGAAAGCGUGGGGAGCAAACAGGAUUAGAUACCCUGGUAGUCCACGCUGUAAACGAUAUCAACUAGCCGUUGGAUUCUUAAAGAAUUUUGUGGCGUAGCUAACGCGAUAAGUUGAUCGCCUGGGGAGUACGGUCGCAAGGCUAAAACUCAAAUGAAUUGACGGGGGCCCGCACAAGCGGUGGAGCAUGUGGUUUAAUUCGAUGCAACGCGCAAAACCUUACCUACUCUUGACAUCCAAAGUACUUUCCAGAGAUGGAAGGGUGCCUUAGGGAACUUUGAGACAGGUGCUGCAUGGCUGUCGUCAGCUCGUGUUGUGAAAUGUUGGGUUAAGUCCCGUAACGAGCGCAACCCUUGUUCUUAGUUGCCA